RNAcentral lists this ribosomal RNA (450 nucleotides) under uncultured bacterium. RNAcentral's name for it is "partial 16S ribosomal RNA". It matches the Rfam family "Bacterial small subunit ribosomal RNA", at positions 354 to 796 of the family's 1533-position model. The record is from RNAcentral.
GUGGGGAAUUUUGGACAAUGGGCGCAAGCCUGAUCCAGCAAUGCCGCGUGCAGGAAGAAGGCCUUCGGGUUGUAAACUGCUUUUGUACGGAACGAAAAGGCUCUGGUUAAUACCUGGGGCUCAUGACGGUACCAUAAGAAUAAGCACCGGCUAACUACGUGCCAGCAGCCGCGGUAAUACGUAGGGUGCAAGCGUUAAUCGGAAUUACUGGGCGUAAAGCGUGCGCAGGCGGUUUUGUAAGACAGAGGUGAAAUCCCCGGGCUCAACCUGGGAAUGGCCUUUGUGACUGCAAGGCUGGAGUGCGGCAGAGGGGGAUGGAAUUCCGCGUGUAGCAGUGAAAUGCGUAGAUAUGCGGAGGAACACCGAUGGCGAAGGCAAUCCCCUGGGCCUGCACUGACGCUCAUGCACGAAAGCGUGGGGAGCAAACAGGAUUAGAAACCCUAGUAGUCC